This 71-nucleotide transfer RNA is filed under the name Candidatus Palibaumannia cicadellinicola. Its description in RNAcentral is "tRNA-Cys". It matches the Rfam family "tRNA". Rfam says of the family: Transfer RNA (tRNA) molecules are approximately 80 nucleotides in length. Their secondary structure includes four short double-helical elements and three loops (D, anti-codon, and T loops). Lineage: Bacteria; Pseudomonadati; Pseudomonadota; Gammaproteobacteria. RNAcentral also lists the same sequence under 2 other names. The record is from RNAcentral.
GGCGCGUUGGCAGAGUGGUUAUGCAGCGGAUUGCAAAUCCGUUAACUUCGGUUCGAUUCCGGAACGCGCCU